This 160-nucleotide long non-coding RNA is filed under the name Dendronephthya gigantea. RNAcentral's name for it is "uncharacterized LOC114543672". Lineage: Eukaryota; Metazoa; Cnidaria; Anthozoa; Malacalcyonacea; Nephtheidae. The record is from RNAcentral.
UGUUGGAACAAAACGACGAGGAGACGCCGAUAACAAAUGUGCUCGAGUUGUCUAACGAUCUGUAUCACUGAUUCCUAUUGACAACUAAACCAACUAUGAAAGCAAUGUGCCUUCAGGCGAUGACUAAAGUUUAUGGAAAAUAUCACGAAGAGAUUGGAGC